This is a long non-coding RNA of Sebastes umbrosus (honeycomb rockfish), 2070 nucleotides long. RefSeq lists it as uncharacterized. The transcript has 3 exons. The record is from RefSeq and is a predicted model, not a curated record. Lineage: Eukaryota; Metazoa; Chordata; Actinopteri; Perciformes; Sebastidae.
CAAAAUUACACUCAGCCAGACAUUUAGCCGAUCUAUCUACUCAAUUCAUCAGUAGAGAGACACAAGUGCCUCUGGCUUGAAUGUUGUCAGGACACAAAAUCAGCAUUUCUAUCACUUGUCAUUGUUGUCUCUUACUUUUCCAAAUCAGUGAGUGCAGGCAUCUAAAACAGCAUUUACACAAUAUACCAUUGUGUUUUAAAUAAAUUCAUAUUUAAUCAACUAAUAAUAAUUUUCAAUAGUACACAAUAUUCAUAUAUUAGUUACAGUAAGACGAUUCCAUUCUUUCAUAUUAUCCUGAAAAUGUAGAGAAAUUAAUCUAAAUUAGUUUUUUUUUAAAUAAUAAUAAAUAUAAAAUAAUAUAUAAUAAUAUAAAGAAAUAAUAAAAUUCCAAAUUUGGAUUCUUCCAGAUGUCUCUGGCUGCUGUUAAGUGAAUAAAAAGUUGUUGACGUUUUUGUUUCACCGGUAGGUAUCAAUGCUACUAAACUGCAUUGUAAUCUUUACAUUUGUACUCAUCUAAGUAACACAUCAGUCCUUCUCCCGCAUUUUCAGAAAGGACCCUGGUCGCUUGGAUGAAGAAUUAAUUGCCUCUAAAGCAACAGCUACCAGAUGUUGUUGCUCCUAACAGCCAGGUGUGGAUAAAUUGCAUAUGCAGAAUGUGUGUAAAAUAUUUAAAGUCGUAUCUUUCACUUAAGGUGUGAAGUGUUUUUAUUGCCCAUCACUGCUUUGAGUAUGGCGAGAGGAAAGGCCGGCGGCCCCCCUGGGCCUGCCGCGCUGGAGCUCAGCACCUGUGGUGUUAAGACUGCGGAUGGAGAGGCUGACAGUGAGACUUGGCGUGGCAGUGUGUCGUUGUGGGGGUGGGGGGUCCAUCCACCUGUUCGCCCUCUAAUUCUCUCCUGGCUGCCACCUUUAACACUGCAUUAUUUACAGGUGCUCUCUGGAUGGAGACACAAGCUGCUGUCUGCUUUAAAUAUGGAUGGUUGUGUGUGUGUAUGUGUGUGUGUGUGUGCAGGUUGUUCUCCCAUCCACACUGAGACAUUUUCCACCAACAAAAACUCUAAAGUGGAUAAAUUUCAAACUGCUGAGUUUGUGUGUUUGAGGGAGCUGCAGACCACCCCCCUCACUAAGAUGGAAAAAGACACACACACACGUGAAUUGACUGUGUUAAGUUCAAGAAAACGGACUAAUACAGGAAGUUCAGGUUUAUAUGUUGUGCUUUUAUUUUGGGGAACUCCUCUAGGAACUCUCUCUUUGAGGCCUUCUUCCGGGGGAAGUGUUUUCAGGGAGCACACCUGAAACUUCAGUCACAGGUCUCCAGCUGAUUUCAAUUAGCUUGUUAGGCUGAACCAAGUGCCAGGAAAGAGAGAGGGGAGUGGGGUAGAGGUGUUUGUUUGUUUGUUUGUUAAGUUGGCUUUUGUUUGAUAUUUCUUCCAUUUAUCAUGCAUAUUAUUUAAUUUGUAAUAUGUAAUAUUCAUUUGUAUGUUUUAUAUGUAAAUAUUAAGGUUAUAUUGUACGCUAAGUUAAAUUGAUUGUAGGAGUGGGUAUAUGCCUUUCAUUGUUGGUAUGGACCACAGGUAUAUAUGUCAGGUUGGAGAAGCAGUGUUGGGUGUGUGAAAGAGGGAGAAUCAGGUUGAGUGUCACCUUAAUCCUGGAAUCAGCUACAUGUGUUUCCCAGUUUUGUUGUCCAUCUGUCUGCUAACCACUGGUUGUACACUGCACAUGAGGAACAGCGGGAAGUGGAUCUGUGACCAUCUACCAGUGGGACCGUCAGCCACUCUGAUGACCUCAGUGCUUAGCUCUGUGCUGCAUUUGCUCAGUGAGGUUGGGAAGAAAGUGCUUAAAAGCUCCUGUGCCAGCAGCAGAAGGAAGAGGCUUCUGGUGUGAGGACUGCUGGUUUUGCUGCCUCUUAGCUUAGGACUUGAUAUUGUCUUUUUCAUAUUUCCUUGUUAAUAAAUCCUAUGGAUAUGAGAGUCUUAAAGGUGUCUUCUGUGUUUGGUUUGGGUCAGAGGUAGAGUGUUGUUCGCCUCAAUAGGUCUGCCCAAGAGAGGGGUGUAACACUAUUUUACAACAUUU